Molecule: long non-coding RNA, 373 nt
Filed under: Setaria viridis
Lineage: Eukaryota; Viridiplantae; Streptophyta; Magnoliopsida; Poales; Poaceae
Description: long non-coding RNA (SVIR_LNC002178)
Source: RNAcentral
GGAGAGAGAGGGAGGAUGGUGAGAGAGAUAGAGAGAAAUGACAUGAAAACGAGAGAUAAAUUGUUAUCUUAUUUUUUAUGGGCAGUCCAUUAACUUACGAGUACAUUUCCCUAUGGACUAUUCUCAUAAUAAUUUUGCUAGUUUUAUUUGAGUAUUUUAGUCUCUAAGAACUGCUUUUGGAGUAUAUUAUGGAUGUCCUUACAUGAUGCAUUUCACUAGAUUGUUUAACUCCCAAGAUAAUGAUGAUUAUAUGACAUGUAGUAUUAGCAAAAAUACAGUAAAAUUGCGCUGGAAUGCCAUACAUGUUGCUUGGACUUUUCCGUCCCCUUGCAGCCGGGAUGCAUCGCCUGAUACGGAUCUCUCGGUAGUCGGU